This is a non-coding RNA of Xyrichtys novacula (pearly razorfish), 1383 nucleotides long. The record is from the annotation of a GenBank genome assembly. NCBI's taxonomy places the organism in Eukaryota, Metazoa, Chordata, Actinopteri, Labriformes, Labridae.
GCCAAAUUCUGACCCUACCAUCCGAAUGUCGCAGCAGAAAUCGAGACUCAUCAGACCAGGCAACGUUUUUCCAAUCUUCUUUUGUCCAAUUUCGAUGAGCUUGUGCAAAUUGUAGCCUCAGUUUCCUGUUCUUAGCUGAAAGGAGUGGCACCCGGCGUGGUCUUCUGCUGCUGUAGCCCAUCUGCCUCAAAGUUCGACGUACUAUGCGUUCAGAGAUGCUCUUCUGCCUACCUUGGUUGUAACGGGUGGUUAUUUGAGUCACUGUUGCCUUUCUAUCAGCUCGAACCAGUCUGGCCAUUCUCCUCUGACCUCUGGCAUCAACAAGGCAUUUCCGCCCACCAGUGUUGUUUUUGGCAGGCAUUUUCGAUUUAGUUUUAGUCUUAGUCAUUUUGACGAAAUGCUUCUUCGUUUUAGUCCCAUUUUAGUCAUUUCUAUCCUUGAUAGUUUUCGUCUAGUUUUAGUCCGACCAAAACUCAAAAGGUUUUCGUCUAGUUUUAGUCGACGUAAAGGUGCCUUUUGAGGUUCGUGGUGUUCUUUCCCGACAGUUUGAAGCAUGAGGAAGCUGUGGCUCCACAACUGUCGUCUGUCUCGUCUCCCCGUCCCGUGUUUUAUUGUCACUUUUCUUUUAUUGUCACUUGAACUGUAUCUGAAGUAGGACCAAAAAUCAUCCCUCUUUUUUCGGCCACCGCUGCUGUGCCUGCCGCCACGGUGUGUGUGUGUGGGCGCGCCUCGUCCACCUGCCGCUCUGUGUAUGUGAAUGAGUGUGUGCGCGCAGCUGUGCGCGAGCGAGGCUUUUGGUGCGUGUGUGAUGGGGGCGUGACUGUUAGGACAAAAAAAAAACAUGUUUUGAAACUUUGUUCGUCCACCUAAUAACAAUUUAGUCUCGUCUCGUUCUCGUCUGACGAAAAUGAAUAUAAUUUUCGUCACAUUUUAGUCUUUACAGAGCUUUGGUGACGUUCGUCUUAGUCUCAUUUUCGUCAAGGAAAAAAGGGGUCUGACGUCGUCAUUUAAGUUUUCGUCCUGCCUGACGAAAACAACACUGCCGCCCACAGAACUGCCGCUCACUGGAUAUUUUUUCUUUUUCGGACCAUUCUCUGUAAACCCUAGAGAUGGUUGUGCGUGAAAAUCCCAGUAGAUCAGCAGUUUCUGAAAUACUCAGACCAGCCCUUCUGGCACCAACAACCAUGCCACGUUCAAAGUCACUCAAAUCACCUUUCUUCCCCAUACUGAUGCUCGGUUUGAACUGCAGGAGAUUGUCUUGACCAUGUCUACAUGCCCAAAUGCACUAAGUUGCCGCCAUGUGAUUGGCUGAUUAGAAAUUAAGUGUUAACGAGCAGUUGGACAGGUGUACCUAAUAAAGUGGCCGGUGAGUGUAUAUAUAGU